Molecule: long non-coding RNA, 9466 nt
Organism: Phyllopteryx taeniolatus (common seadragon)
Lineage: Eukaryota; Metazoa; Chordata; Actinopteri; Syngnathiformes; Syngnathidae
Exons: 6
Source: RefSeq, a predicted model, not a curated record
CACCAAAUUCUACAAUUAGCAGAAAAUAUACUGCUAUAGUCAACAAUUCAAUUACAGUUAGUGCAAUUAUUGUUGCCAAAAGCGUUUUAAAUUCUUCUCAACUAGCAUCCAUUACAGUGCAUAGUGCCCAAAAUAAAUGAUUCUCUAUCUCUAUUUCUCUGACAUCCCGAAAAAAACAUUUCAAUAACACAGUAAUCGAAUCCCUUUUAACGCGUUCUCACAAUUACAAUCAAACCAGCAAUCAAUGAUUUCAAAAACACUUGUUGAUUCCUGUCCUCUUCUGCUAUUAUACCUCUAACCACUGGAUGUCACUAUUUCCCUUAGGUAAAUAACUGACUUGAAUAUCUGUCGAGCGGCACAGUGGACGACUGGUCAGUACAUCUGCCUCACAGUUCUGAGGACUGGGGUUCAAAUCCCGGCCCCGCCUGUGUGGAGUUUGCAUGUUCUCCCCGUGCCUGCGUGGUUUUCUUUGGGCACUCCGGUUUCCUCCCACAUCCCCCAAAACAUGCAUGGCAGACUCCACUCUGGACUAAUUGCCAGUCAAUCACAGGACACAAUCACUGAGUGGGAACUGAAGCUACACUGCCUGCAUGGAAGUCAGGUGAGUGAACCAUUGCACCGUCAGUGACUAUCCUCCUCAGUUCAGCAGUUUCAAAAGUUCAUUUUUAACAUCAACAGGAGUGAGAUAGCUGCAGUUCAUUGUUGUCAGCGUCUGUGAAGACAAUGGCUGUCUCAAAGACCAUCACCGACAGUUCGAUGGUUUCCAUGGUAGAUGUCUGUUAUCAAUGCGAUCAAUAACGUCACACGACCGCAGCCGACGGGAGCGUUUGGCACUGCGCUGGUGAAGAGCAUUGUUGCGAUAACAACUGGGGAAGAGAGAAGAAAGGCGUCUUUGUUGAGUUAUCCUGACUAAAUUGACAAGGCCUUUUACAGCCUUUGAUACAGAGUCUCGCAACAAUGAAUGGCAUAUAAAUUUGCAGAUGCCGCCUGCAAAGCUCAAAUGUCAAAGCUUUUCGCAACAGCAAGUGGAGGAAUUGAUUGGCUCACCUUUUGUCUCCUUCCAAAUUUUUCAUCCCACAGGACAAAAUAAAAAACAUUGAUUAGCUUACUUUUUGUCUCCUGCCAAAAUCUCACAGGACAGAAAAACAACAACAACAAAGAAUGAAAAAGUCAACUUGUUCCACUGGGUGCCAAAAAGUACCACUAUUUCUUUGAAAUAUCUGACUCCUGGAUCGCUUGGCCUGUGGAGUGGUCUCCUCACCAUAUUCAAUAGCUGCUGAUCAUUUCUGUCGGCCUACUCCACAUUGUUUUCCUCUUCACUCUCUGUCAUCCCCUUUAAAAACAUGCCAUUAAUUUCCAACCACUGCAAUUUUCUCCAGCAGGAACUGAAAAAAGACAUUAUAAAGACAACAUUGGAUUCUCUUCUUUCUCUAAUUAUUGUACAAAGUAGCCUAGCAAUAAUUUUUUCCGUCAUUGGUUGACUCCCAAAAGCCAAAUUGAUGUCAUCUUUGCAAAGAAAGCCAAAAGGAAACCUUUUCAGUGGCUUUGAAUGAGUGCAGGAAGGAAGAAAAAAAUCCCUCUGGGGUUCUGUGACUGAGUGGGCCUUUUUAUUUUCUUUUGCUCUGCUAAUCAAAUGGAGCUGAAAUGAAAAUUGAGUUUUUUAUGAAAAUGGGGCCCUUUGUUGGCUUUGUAAGACUAGUAAUUCAUAAACAAUAAGCCGUCUCCUUUUGUUUGGGAUAUAAUAUAUUCGUGCCGCUCUGAAAGAGGUCUUUGCGCGCCUGCACACACACACACACACACGCACACACACACACACACACACACGCGCACGCUCAGACUGAAGCGAAGCGUGGUGGCCGAGGAAGAGAGGAGAGUAUAAAAGGAGGCAGAGGAAGACUUCCCAUUCAUCCUCCCAGCUGAGAGACGACAGGACCACUCUUUCCUUCAGCUUCUUGAACCUUAGAACACUUUCUUCCUCUGUCAAGAAAAGUUCAGCAGGGUUUUCUUAGGCUACCACCAGGUCCAUGGAUCACUUGCUUGGAACUCCUGAGACAUGCGCAUUUUUCCUAACACAUAUGAUCAACCCAGGAUAUGUUUCAUCUGGCCCUUGUUCCUCCUGGAAGACAAUGAAAAAGACACACACACACACAAGAUGACAGGUGAAAACAACAAGACACACAUGCAUGAGGGGUUAACAUGGGAUUCAGUUGGUGAGAGCAAACGUGAUGGGAAGAAAGCAGAAGCUUUGAGCACUGUGGAGGACCCUUUAAAGUCAAAGAUUCUUGGACGUUUCUUCAGAAGGAACUUCAGUCAUAAUUUCACAUGAAGGAAAGUGAGUGAGGAUGUUGUCAUUCUCUGUCAUUCGUAGUGGAAAUUUCAUAUCAAGUCAAAGUUAGAAGGAGCGCUGUUUACAUUUGAUACGGAUGUCAACAGACGUGGAUUUGGGUUGCAGGAAGGUGGUGCCUAUCUAGCUGACUUCAGGUGAAAGGCAGGCCAUACUAGUUGUCAGUCAACCACCGGCAGAACCUUUCACACAUUCAGACCGUCACUAAGUGGGAACUGACCUCACCCUACCUGCCUACAAACACUAUCAGCAGAGGAUAACCAGGCUACAAUGGAUCCCAAGUGGGCAGCAUUUAUCACAUAGUAUGGUAAAUGGAAUAAGCUCCAGGAUGGAUGGAUACUUGCUGUUGUUGCUCAGAAUGUUGCUCAGUGCUCCACAAUCUAAUGCUUACCAGGCCGCGGCAUGGUGGAGACGGGUUACCACAUCUGCCUCACAGUUCUGAGGACUGGGGUUCAAAUCCUGGCCCCACCAGUGUGGAGUUUUCAUGUUCUCCCCAUGCCUGCGUGGGUUUUGCCCGGGUACUCCAGUUUCCUCCCACAUCCCAAAAGACAUGCACGAGUUUCCAAUAGGAGAGCUCAGCUAUUGGUGACCCCGGCCGACGACAACCUCUGGCCGAGUACAUCUCUGGCUAGCAGACGAGGAGGUACGCUAUGCACUAGAUAAUACUCACAUGAUUUGUACACAUGCAUUUACACACAAACACAUUUUUAGAAAAAGUGUAAAGCACAGACGAAAGCAAAUUGUGUCAACUACCAUGAUUCCUGCUAAAAAAUUGUACCAAAACUUCCCAAUUGUCAUAUGUAAAAAAUGUCAAGUUGUCGCAAAAACAAACCAAACCCAUUUUCAUAGUAACUUGAAAAAUAGCUGAACAAACUAUUAUCUUUGACUUCUGCUUUCAAAAUUUGUUAUCCAUCAAUUUGUUGUGUAUGUAUAGGUAAUAUAAUGUGCCAAUUAAACAUUUAUUUCCAGUCAUAAUAGCCAUCUGAGGAAAAUCGUAACUACAAUGUGGCUUGUGAAUUUUUUUUAUUUAACACCCUUCCAUGUAAAUGUAUCUGUAAAAGAAUGGAAACAGAAAAAAAGGUACCGUAUUGCAUCAUUAAUUUUUCUGAUGGAAUGGGUAUGAAGGAUUUUUUUAAAUACUCAGAAAUAAAGAAAGAAUCAGAAAGAAUAGAUACAAUAUUUGUAAUGGAAAGCCAAUUUCACAAACACAAAAUCAAAUCACCAUAAUGUCUUGCUUUACAGGAGAGAGUUGACAGACUGAGUUUAGAGUAAUCACAUAUUGUGUUAAAGAAAUUUCUAUGAUGUGACCCCAGCUCCAUGUUUUGACAUCCUCGAGGAGAUAUCUGGGGAAGCUCCUCUGACCCUUUGCAAAAAGGAUGGAAAUGGCUGUAGUGAACACUUUCUUCCAGAAGAGGCAGGAACAUAGGGUGACCUACAAGUGCGGAGGUAGAAGCAUGCAGGUGGAUUACAUCCUGUGCAGACGAUGUAAUCUGAAGGAGGCUACUGACUGUAAAGUAGUGGUAGGGGAGAGUGUGGCAAGACAGCAUAGGAUCGUGGUGUGUAAAAUGACUGGUGGUAGGGAGGAAGAUUAAGAAGACAAAGGCAGAGCAGAGAGCCAUGUGGUGGAAGCUGAGAAAGGAAGAGUGUUGUGCUGCUUUUUGGGUAGAGGUGAGACAGGCUCUUGGUGGACAGGAGGAGCUUCCAGAAGACUGGACCACUGCAGCCAAGGUGAUCGGAGAGGCAGGGAGGAGAGUAUUUGGUGUAUCUUCUGGUAGGAAAAUGGAGAAGGAGACUUGGUGGUAGAAUCUCAAAGUCCAGGAAAUCAUACAAGGAAAGAGGUUAAGAAGAAGUGGGACAGUGAGAAGACUGAGGAGAGGUGAAAGGAAUAUAUGUGACAUAGGGCGAAGGUAGAGGUGGCAAAGGCCAAGCAAGAGGCAUAUGAUGACAUGUAUGCCAGGUUGGACACUGAAGAAGGAAAAAAGAUUUAUACAGGUUGGCCAGGCAGAGGGAUAGAGAUGGGAAGGAUGUGCAGCUGAUUAGGGUGAUUAAGGAUAGAGAUGGAAAUGUGUUGACUGGUGCCAGCAGAGUGCUGGAUAGAUGGAAAGAAUACUUUGAGGAGUUGAUGAAUGAGGAAAAUCAGAGAAGAGUAGAAGAGGCAAGUGUGGUGGACCAGGAAGUGGCAAUGAUGAGUAAGGGGGAAGUUAGAAGGCACUAAAGAGGAUGAAAAAUUUAAAGGCAGUUUGUCCUGAUGACAUACCUUUGGAGGUAUGGAAGCAUCUAGAUGUGGCUGUGGAGUUUUUGACCAGCUUGUUCAACAGAAUUCUACCGGGUGAGAAGAUGCCUGAGGAAUGGAGGAAAAGUGUGCUGGUGCCCAUUUUUAAGAACAAAGGUGAUGUGCAGAGUUGUGGGAACUAUAGAGGAAUAAAGUUGAUGAGCUACACAAUUAAGUUAUGAGAAAGAGUAGUGGAGGCUAGACUCAGGACAGAAGUGAGUAUUUGCGAGCAACAGUAGUGUUUCAUGUCUAGAAAGAGUACCACAGAUGCAUUAUUUGCCCCGAGGGUGUUGAUGGAAAAGUACAGAGAACGUCAGAAGGAGCUACAUUGUGUCUUUGUACUUGUAGAUCUAGAGAAAGCCUAUGACAGAGUUCACAGAGAGGGACUGUGAUACUGCAUGCGGAAGUCUGGAGUGACAUAGAAGUAUGCUAGAAUAGUACAGAACAGUGGUGAGGUGUGCUGUAGGUGUGACAGAGGACUUAAAGGUGGAGGUGGGACUGCAUCAGGGAUCAGCCUUGAGCCCCUUCCUGUUUGCAGUGGUGAUGGAUAGGCUGACAGAUGAGGUUAGACUGGAGUCCCCGUCAACCAUGAUGUUUGCAGAUGACAUUGUGAUCUGCAGUGAAAGCAGGGAGCCAAGGUUCGAUGUUUUGGAGACAAAGUUAGAGAGAGCAGACUUGGAUGGUUUGGACACAUCCAGAGGAGAGAGAGUCAUUAUAUUGGUAGGAGGAUGAUGAGGAUGGAGCUGCCAGCCAAGAGAGCUCGAGGAAGACCAAAGAGAAGGUUGAUGGAUGUCGUGAGGGAAGACAUGAGGGCUGUUGGUGUUCGAGAGGAGGAUGCAGGAGAUAGGCUCUCAUGGAAAAGGAUGACGCGCUGUGGCAACCCCUAAAGGGACAAGCCGAAAGGAAAAGAAGAAGUACUCACCAUAGAUGCUGAUUUACAGAUAAAAUCCACCCCCUUUUCUUCUACCGUAUUUUCACAAUCACAAGGCGCACCGCAUUUAAGGAUAGAUGAUUCUUUACUGUGUACACUCGCGUGCGCCGGCUGGCAGUGAUCAACAUGUAAUGCGUGAGACGUUAUUUCAUUAGUUUUAUUUUGUUGAAAAACGUCUUUCGGUCUGAAACCGAAAAUAAAUUUCGGUGCAUCACUAAUUUCAAAGAUCAAUUUAAAAAAUACAAAUAAAAUAACAAGUGUAUUAAAAUGCUUCACUGUCACUAUUUUCAUUUAUUGUUUAAAAAAAAGUCAGUCAAGCGGAGCGCUCAUCACACAACAUUUAUAGAUUUUGGAACUAGGUGCACACAGAAGGCGCGCCGCAUUAUAAGGCGCCCCGUCCAUUUUGGGGAAAAUGUAAGACUUUUAAGUGCGCCUCAUAUGGCGGCACGGUGGACGACUGGUUAGAGCGUCUGCCUCAGAGUUAUGAGGUCCGGGGUUCAACCCCUGACCCCGCCUGUGUGGAGUUUCCAUGUUCUCCCCGUGCCUGCGUGGGUUUUCUCUGGGCACUCCGGUUUCCUCCCACAUCCCAAAAGCAUGCAUGGUAGGUUAAUUGAAGCCUCUAAAUUCCCUGUAGGUGUGAAUGUGAUUGCGAAUGGUUGUUUGUUUGUAUGUGCCCUGCGAUUGGCUGGCAUCCCAUACAUCCCAUGUUGCGACUCUUUACUUCAGCUUCCUGUGCUUGCUUCUUGAAUGAAGUUGAAUUUGAAGGUGUGACAGCAUUCUUCCCACCUCCCUCUUCUGCACUGUCUCCAUGCCAUACUCCUGAUCACGCUUUUAUCUCAUCACCCGCAGUAACCUCUCCAUUUUAUUGUCCUGCCACUGCUAUCUGUCUCUUUGUGGCUCUGAUGAGGGUCACAGGGUUAGCCAGGGAGGGGGCUUGUCAUUAGCUGAGUGUGUGUAUAGAUGUGUGCAGGUGAAGUUUGUACAUGUCCACUCCAGAUAACAACAGUCUUUAAUGAUCAGUGUGAGGAGUUUGGAGCAAAAGAAGAUGAGCAGAUCCUUUAAGGUAAUUUUCUACAAGAAUAGAUUGUAUUAUAUAUAUAUACAUAUAUAUAUAUUAGCAUCCAUCCAUCCACCCAUUUUCUGUACCUCUUUUCCUCACACGGGUCGCGGGCGUGCUGGAGCCUAUCCCAGUUAUCUCCGGGCGAGAGGCGGGGUACACCCAGAACUGGUCGCCAGCCAAUCGCAGGGCAUAUAUAUACAUACAUAUAUUCAUUAUGGUCGCCUGAAAGUGAAAAACAAUGUAACAAAUUGUGAAACACUUUUACAUUGCAGAAAACACAUUAACAAAAGCAGAAACACUUUUACAAAGGACCAAACAAAUUACAAUUGAGAAAAAACGGAACGGGAACGUUACAUUUCACAGACAGAAAUCCCACGCCUUUUCUCGGCAAGACCCGCCCCGCUUCAACAUGAUUGGCUCCUGCAUCGCGUGAAGGGUGGGCUACGCAGAUGUUACAAGAUAUCCAUCCCAAAUAUAAUUUAAAAAAACAAAAAAAUUAUUAUGGUUGGGUUUAGGACUAGGGUUGGGGUUAAGGCAGUUUCGGAUGAGUUAAGGUUAGGAUUAUGCUGGUUAAGGCUGACGUACACAGCACCGCCGCCGAACCCGACUGAACUAUGGCACAGUGUGCGUGGUUUGGCAACUGUUUCAUUGAGCAGCCGACCGGUCGGCCACUGGAUUUGACACGAUUCAAAAUUAUAAUCUCUUUUGCACGGUGUAUUCACGUCCCAGUUUACAUUCAAUCAAAAUGCACAGAAGCUUUCGCCUACGGUGAAAAUACAUUUCCGGGUUUGCGAGCCGCGCCGCCGCGUUGCCUCGGCUCAAGCCAUAUAAAUAAUACGUAAAGCGUCAAAUGUUGUUUUACAUCAAUACUAACCUAUAUUCAUAAUGUAUAAUGCGCCUGUGCAUGAAAAAGCGAAGUUUGUGACCAGAAUGUACGUUCAAAUGACUGGAGCAGGCAGCUUCCUUUCAAAUAUCCACACUUUCCCUUUAAUUCUUGCCAGCAUCCUCUCUCUUUAACAAUCUGCUUCUUCCUUAACUCUAAAGCUAUCUUUUUAUGGUUUAAGAAAUGUGAUCAAGUACAAUAUAUUAUACAGGAAGUCCCCGAUUUACGAACGAGUUCCGUUCCUACGGUGGCGACGUACCCCGAAUUUCCGCGUGAAUCGGAUUUCACCGUUAAAGUCGGAAUUUACGUCGAAAUACUUCGUAUAAAGAAACUAAAAUACAUUAAAAUAAAAAAAAAUAACCUGCUGUACUUACCAUUACUGCUGAGAGGUGGAUGGAGCCACUUGACCAUGAAGUAGUAGACCACGUAAAGUGACGGAGGGGGGUCAGCGGAUGCUGAGGUGCAAAGUGCGAAGAGUUCGCCACCAAUCGCUAUAGACCUCCAAACUUCAUGUGGCCUUUAGAUUAGCCCAAGACCAAUGCGCAGAGAGCCUCAUGGAAUGGGUUUCCAUGGCUGAGCAGCUGCAUCCAGGCCACAUAUCACCAAGUGCAAUGCAAAGCAUCAGAUGCAGUGGUCUAAAGCUCUCCGCCACUGGACUGGAGUGAUGAAUCACGCUUCUCCAUCUGACAAUCUGAUGGACGAGUCUGAGUUUGGCAGGUGGCAAGAGAACGGUACUUGUCUGACUGCAUUGUGCCAAGUAUAAUGUUUGGUGGAGGGGGGAUUAUGGUGUGGGUUUGUUUUUUAGGGACUGGGCUUGGCCCCUUAGUUCCAGUGAAAGAAACUCUGAAUACUUCAGUAUACCAAGAGAUUUUGGACAAUUCCAUGCUCCCAACCUUGUGGGAACAGUCCUUCCAUUUCUAACAUGGCUGCGCACCAAUGCACAAAGCAAGGUCCACAAAUACAUGAAUGACAUAGUCUGGUGUGGAUGAACUUGACUGACCUCCACAGAGUCCUGACUUCAACCCGAUAGAAUACCUUUGGGAUGAGUAAGAGCAGAGACUGAGAGCCAGGCCUUUUUGUCCAACAUCAGUGUGUGACCUCACAAAUACGCUUCUGGAAGAAUGGUCAAAAAUUCCCAUAAACACACUCGUGAACCUUGUGGACAGCCUUCCCAGAGGAAUUGAAGCUGUUAUAGCUACAAAAGGUGGACCGACGUAAUAUUGAACCCUAUGGAUUAGGAAUAGGAUGUCACUUAAAUUCAUAUGUGAGUCAAGGCAGGUCAGUGAAUACUUUUGGCAAUAUAGUGUAUUCAGCACUGAUAUGUUAUAUAGAUUCAUUAAACACUUGGGAAAGUACUUUUCAGAAUGCAAAUUCCUGCCUAAAUUUCCCCAUCACUUUAAACUGCUUAAAUUUCUGGAAGUCACUGCACCAUUUUUACAAUUGUCACUGUACCAGAUUAUCACGCUAUUAGACAUUUCAAACUGCACUAAAUUGCUAGAGGACUCAAACAUCAUUUGUACAAUUGUCACAAAAAAAAAAAAAAAAAAAAAAAGUAUCAGCAUUACCACACUAACAGUCACCUUUAAUUGCUCAGUGACUCUCCAUACUGGUUUUUAUGUUUUUAUGUUUCAAAAGUAUUUUUUUGUCAAAUGACUGUCUGUUGUCAUUCUAGAGCAGCUCCAACUACCGGAAAUAAAUUCCUUGUGAGUUUUUGACAUAAUUGGCAAAUAAAGAUGAUUCUGAUUCUGAUUGUGAUACUGUCACGGCCGCUGCGCUAGUUAUGAUAGAACUUUUAUUUUCUUAGGAGCUAUUUAUUUGUAAAAUAUACUCUGUUGCUUAGAAUGCACAACAGAAGAUAUUUUUUUAUUAUUAUUAUUUUUACAUGUUGGAAAUUUCAAUUAAAACAUUUUUUAAAAGGCAAGAAAAUGUCUCUUUUUAUUGAAAAAAAAAUGUAACCGUGACAGUUAUUGAACUGA